GUGCUCACAUCGGCAGUACGUAUACAAAACUCGGAAUGAUAUGAUAAGAGAUUAGCUUGGCCCCUACACACAAGGAUGACCCAAAAACUCUUAAAGUGUUCCAUAUUUUA
Small nuclear RNA from Choloepus hoffmanni (Hoffmann's two-fingered sloth), 110 nucleotides. The record is from Ensembl. Lineage: Eukaryota; Metazoa; Chordata; Mammalia; Pilosa; Megalonychidae.